UCCCAGUUCGGAUUGUAGUCUGCAACCCGACUACAUGAAGCUGGAAUCGCUAGUAAUCGCGGAUCAGAAUGCCGCGGUGAAUACGUUCCCGGGUCUUGUACACACCGCCCGUCACACCAUGGGAGUCGGAAAUGCCCGAAGUCUGUGACCCAACCUUAGGGAGGGAGCAGCCGAAGGCAGGUCGGAUGACUGGGGUGAAGUCGUAACAAGGUAUC
RNAcentral lists this ribosomal RNA (215 nucleotides) under uncultured bacterium. RNAcentral's name for it is "partial 16S ribosomal RNA". It matches the Rfam family "Bacterial small subunit ribosomal RNA", at positions 1286 to 1500 of the family's 1533-position model. The record is from RNAcentral.